This 69-nucleotide transfer RNA is filed under the name Bos taurus (domestic cattle). It matches the Rfam family "tRNA". From Rfam's summary of the family: Transfer RNA (tRNA) molecules are approximately 80 nucleotides in length. RNAcentral also lists the same sequence under 3 other names. The record is from Rfam by way of RNAcentral. Lineage: Eukaryota; Metazoa; Chordata; Mammalia; Artiodactyla; Bovidae.
CCUGAUGGUUCAGUUGGUAAAGAAUCUGCUUGCAAUGCAGGAAUCCCUGGUUCGAUUCCUGGGUCAGGA